Molecule: ribosomal RNA, 1423 nt
Filed under: metagenome
Description: SSU rRNA
Rfam family: Eukaryotic small subunit ribosomal RNA
Source: RNAcentral
CCUGGUUGAUCCUGCCAGUAGUCAUACGCUCGUCUCAAAGAUUAAGCCAUGCAUGUCUAAGUAAAAAUAACUCUUUACUGUGAAACUGCGAACGGCUCAUUAUAUCAGUUAUAGUUUACUUGAUAGUACCUACUUGGAUACCCGUAGUAAUUCUAGAGCUAAUACAUGCAUCAACGCCCAAUCGGGCCGCGUUUAUUAGAUAGAAACCCAUAUUUUUGGUGAAUCAUAAUAACUGUGCGAAUCGCAUGGGUUUACCCCGGCGAUGAAUCAAUCAAGUUUCUGCCCUAUCAGCUUUCGAUGGUAGGGUAUUGGCCUACCAUGGCGUUAACGGGUAACGGAGAAUUAGGGUUCGAUUCCGGAGAGGGAGCCUGAGAAACGGCUACCACAUCUAAGGAAGGCAGCAGGCGCGUAAAUUACCCAAUCCUGACACCGGGAGGUAGUGACAAUAAAUAACAAUGCCGGGCUUUUUUAAGUCUGGCAAUUGGAAUGAGAACAAUUUAAAUCCCUUAACGAGGAUCAAUUGGAGGGCAAGUCUGGUGCCAGCAGCCGCGGUAAUUCCAGCUCCAAUAGCGUAUAUUAAUGUUGUUGCAGUUAAAAAGCUCGUAGUUGGAUUUCUGGUGGGAGCGGCCGGUCCGCCGCAAGGUGUGUACUUGGUUGUCUCCUGUCAUCCUUGUGGGAACUGCUCUGGCAUUAAGUUGUCGGGGUUAGGUAACACAUCGUUUACUGUGAAAAAAUUAGAGUGUUUAAAGCAGGCUUAUGCCGUUGAAUACAUUAGCAUGGAAUAAUAAGAUAGGACUUUGGCGUCUAUUUUGUUGGCUUGCACACCAAGGUAAUGAUUAAUAGGGAUAGUUGGGGGUAUUCGUAUUUAAUUGUCAGAGGUGAAAUUCUUGGAUUUAUGAAAGACGAACUUCUGCGAAAGCAUUUACCAAAGAUGUUUUCAUUAAUCAAGAACGAAAGUUAGGGGAUCGAAGAUGAUUAGAUACCAUCGUAGUCUUAACCAUAAACUAUGCCGACUAGGGAUUGGCGGUCGUUCAUUUAUGACUCCGUCAGCACCUUAUGAGAAAUCAAAGUCUUUGGGUUCCGGGGGGAGUAUGGUCGCAAGGCUGAAACUUAAAGGAAUUGACGGAAGGGCACCACCAGGAGUGGAGCCUGCGGCUUAAUUUGACCCAACACGGGGAAACUUACCAGGUCCAGACAUAGUAAGGAUUGACAGAUUGAGAGCUCUUUCUUGAUUCUAUGGGUGGUGGUGCAUGGCCGUUCUUAGUUGGUGGAGUGAUUUGUCUGGUUAAUUCCGUUAACGAACGAGACCGUCGCCUGCUAAAUAGUUACGCGAAUGGCUUCGGCCAUUGGUGGGCAGCUUCUUAGAGGGACUUUUGGUGUUUAACCAAAGGAAGCUGGCGGCAAUAACAGGUCUGUGAUGCCC